AUACGAAGGGAGCUAGCGUUAUUCGGAAUUACUGGGCGUAAAGAGCGUGUAGGCGGUUAAUUAAGUUAGUUGUUAAAUUCCUCGGCUUAACCGAGGGUCAGCAAUUAAUACUGGUUGACUAGAGGGCGAGAGAGAAAAGUGGAAUUCUCGGAGUAGCGGUAAAAUGCAUAGAUCUCGAGAUGAACACCAGUUGCGAAGGCGGCUUUUUGGCUCGUUUCUGACGCUAAAACGCGAAAGCGUGGGGAGCAAACAGGAUUAGAUACCCUAGUAGUCC
RNAcentral lists this ribosomal RNA (274 nucleotides) under uncultured bacterium. RNAcentral's name for it is "partial 16S ribosomal RNA". It matches the Rfam family "Bacterial small subunit ribosomal RNA", at positions 523 to 796 of the family's 1533-position model. The record is from RNAcentral.